UCUGGGUACAACCACCAUGGCCUGGACUCUCUCUCUCCUUGUCCUUAAUCUCUGCACAGGCUCCAUGGUCUCCAGCGAGGUGACUCAGCCACCCUUUCUGUCAGUGGCCCUGGGAGAAAUGGCUACAAUCACCUGUACCAGAGAGGAACUUGAAGAUGGUUAUGCACACUGGUACCAGCAGAAGCCAGGCCAAGCCCCUUUGAUGGUUAUUUAUGGUGAUAGUGAGUGGCCCUCGGGGAUCCCUGAACGAUUCUCUGGCUCCAAGUCGGGGAACACAGCCACCCUGACCAUCACUGGGACACAGGCUGAGGAUGAGGCUGACUAUUACUGUCAGAGCUAUGAUGGCCAUACUGAUGUGCACAGUGACACAGGCAGAUGGGAAGUGGGACACAAACCCGUUCCCCAUCUGUGUCAUACUCUCCUCCAGCCCCAGGAGACCUGUGCACAAUACAGGGAGCAUAUUUGGCCCAGGUCCCCAGAUCUGAGGCCUCCACUCUGUCCCCUUCCUCCCAGUUCUCCAGGCAGGCUGUACAGGGCGGAUCACCAGGGGAUUUGUAAUCAGUUAUUAGAAUUCUAUUAA
Molecule: non-coding RNA, 580 nt
Organism: Enhydra lutris kenyoni (northern sea otter)
Lineage: Eukaryota; Metazoa; Chordata; Mammalia; Carnivora; Mustelidae
Source: the annotation of a RefSeq genome assembly